UCGAACGCGAAAGCCCCGCAAGGGGUAAGUAGAGUGGCAAACGGGUGAGUAACACGUGGGUGACCUGCCUUCGAGUGGGGGAUAACGUCCCGAAAGGGACGCUAAUACCGCAUGACAUCCUGCUCUUGGACGAGCGGAGAUCAAAGCCGGGGAUCGCAAGACCUGGCGCUUGAAGAGGGGCCCGCGCCUGAUUAGCUAGUUGGUGGGGUAAUGGCUCACCAAGGCGACGAUCAGUAUCCGGCCUGAGAGGGCGGACGGACACACUGGGACUGAGACACGGCCCAGACUCCUACGGGAGGCAGCAGUGGGGAAUUGUUCGCAAUGGGCGCAAGCCUGACGACGCAACGCCGCGUGGAGGACGAAGAUCUUCGGGUCGUAAACUCCUGUCGAGCGGGAAGAAACCCGCGGGGAUGAAUAAUCCCUGUGGCUGACGGUACCGCUAAAGGAAGCCCCGGCUAACUCCGUGCCAGCAGCCGCGGUAAUACGGGGGGGGCAAGCGUUG
Molecule: ribosomal RNA, 502 nt
Filed under: uncultured bacterium
Lineage: Bacteria
Description: bacterial SSU rRNA
Rfam family: Bacterial small subunit ribosomal RNA
Source: RNAcentral